GACGAACGCUGGCGGCGUGCUUAACACAUGCAAGUCGAACGGAAAGGCCCUGCUUUUGUGGGGUGCUCGAGUGGCGAACGAGUGAGUAACAAGUGAGUAACCUGCCCUUGACUUUGGGAUAACUUCAGGAAACUGGGGCUAAUACCGGAUAGGAGCUCCUGCUGCAUGGUGGGGGUUGGAAAGUUUCGGCGGUUGGGGAUGGACUCGCGGCUUGUCAGCUUGUUGGUGGGGUAGUGGCUUACGAAGGCUUUGACGGGUAGCCGGCCGGAGCGGGUGACCGGCCAAAUUGGGACGGGGAUACGGCCCAGACUCCUACGGGAGGCAGCAGUGGGGAAUAUUGCACAAGGGGCGGAAGCCUGAUGCAGCAACGCCGCGUGCGGGAUGACGGCCUUCGGGUUGUAAACCGCUUUCGCCUGUGACGAAGCGUGAGUGACGGUAAUGGGUAAAGAAGCACCGGCUAACUACGUG
This 468-nucleotide ribosomal RNA is filed under the name uncultured bacterium. Its description in RNAcentral is "partial 16S ribosomal RNA". It matches the Rfam family "Bacterial small subunit ribosomal RNA", at positions 28 to 507 of the family's 1533-position model. The record is from RNAcentral.